Long non-coding RNA from Telopea speciosissima, 188 nucleotides. RefSeq lists it as uncharacterized. The record is from RefSeq and is a predicted model, not a curated record. Lineage: Eukaryota; Viridiplantae; Streptophyta; Magnoliopsida; Proteales; Proteaceae. The transcript has 2 exons.
UAGUUCCAAAAACUAUUUACCAAAGUGCCAGCUUGCAUAUGUUUAUAAAUUGUUUUGAGUGCCCUUGUUUCAAUAAUUAGUUUCUACUAACCUCUCUAAUUUUGGAAAUUUCUCUGGUGGGGUUAUCUUUUAGGUUGGUCCUUCUGACUAGAGAACCACCUUGAUGUUUGAAGCUGUGAAAUCUUAAG